AGACCCCCAAAAGAGGCUGCAGAUUCUUGGUGGACAGCUCUCAUAUCCCCUCCAGGGAACAUGAUGAAAAAUGUCUUCAGAAAAAUAGCUUUAUGAAGGUAAGAGGACUUUUUGCACCUGCAAGACAUGUCUGAAAGCUCCUCAGGUCAAAACACAAGUAGUCAAGAGAUUUGUCCAUCUAAUUCAUCAUACUACUCUGAUCCAAGUGAGACCCACACUGGGUCAGCUCCAUCAAGGAGAAGAACAUUCUACCCACGUUUGGAUUCUGGAAUAUCAUCCUUGCUUCCAUCAGAUUCUUGUAAGUACCUCACUUGGCACAAGGUAGAACAACAUGACGUUCAAGGAAGUCAACCACGUUACCCAAGAGUAAGAGAAGGUAAAAGAAUAAAUGUGUGCCUUUUUCGUGUACAUCCUCUGAGUAGAAUUUUUUGUGGAUUAAAAGACAUUACUUGAAGAAAAAAAAAAGACAUCAUUUGGAGGACCCUCUGAAGAAGAGCAACUUUUCAAACAAGUAGAGUGUGCCUUGCCCCCAAGGAAAAGAGUUCUUGAAAAAACAAAUUGGAAACAUGACUACAAGAAAACUGGGAAGACUGCAAGAAUUAGAACAUUUCAUUUCAGGAUUUGGGGGAUCCCUACCAAGUUGAAAAUUUUAACAGAAUUCUUAGAAGACUAAUUCGAGUUGAAACCCUCUGGUUAGUGGAUAAUUCUCUGGUGGACUUAAGUGCCAUAAGAUUGCCAAGAGUAUUCUCCUGUUUGCCAAACUUAAAAAUGCUGGAUGGAAUCUUGAAGCUACCAGAAGAUUGUGCAUCACCAGAAACCAACAUUUUUUCAAAAAUAUGCCUUGUAUCCUAACGCAGUCUGUAUAGAAAGAAAGCAAUAUCAUUGUUGCUAAAAGCUAAUAAACACAGGAAAUGCAUGAUUAAAUAUUGCAGUUUAUUUUAUAUCUUUUUGCUUUUCUAAAUCAAGGCAAAAACAUGCUAACUGACAAGAAAAUCAUGGGUUUUAUGCAAGGAUAACAAGUGCUGGGUUGCUUAGCUAUGAAGAAGGCUAGGCUCACUGCAUAUCAGAAGAUGUACAGUGUUGGAGAAUGCAGGGAUUUUUAUCAGCAAUCAAACUAUAUUUGUGGAAAUUUUGUGCAUAAGUGCCAAAGAUGGCUGACAUCUGACCACAUUCUAUUUAACUCAACUGAAUGACACCAAGCUCUCAUCCUAAAACUUAUAGUUACAUCCACUCUUCUGAAAUAUUUAAUUAUUCUCCAAUACACUGGAAGUAAUAGAUAUAAAAAGAAUGUGCAUGUGCAACUUAGCAUCUCGUAUCUAAUUUUGCGUCCCAAGUUCACUCUUCCCCUGGAAGUCCCAUGUCUACCAGGUGCUGGAUUAUCUGGAUGGAUCAGUCCAAAACAAUUUCAGGGAAUAAACUGUGUAGGAGAUACAAUUUUCUGAGACAGAAACAUAACGCAAAUAACUCUUUGUUAGAAAAUAAUUUCAGUGACAGAAAGCCUUUCUGUUCAUAAAGAAAACUUACAUAUCAACAAACCUAGCUCCUCACCGGUCCCAGUGAAUGCUUACAUCAAUCAACUCUACAAUAUCCAGUAAAGGACUUUCCAAUUCCCCUUUGAAUAAACUGAGGUAUUGGAAACAUCUAAACAAAUGGUUUUUAAUUCCUCCUAAUCUUCAGGAAGUUCUUCCUUAUACUGAGCUGAUAUCUGCCUUCUGUAACUUUCAACUAAUUAUUCAAAUCUCUCAAGUGAUUAUAAUUAAUUCCAUCUUAUAAGGAAUUUUUCUCAGCUUCCGGGCUCUCGAAAAUACCCUAAUAUUUUCUCUAAUAUUCCAGUGGAAAUGUAAAUAGAUAACGUAAGAGUCUGUGGGGUUAGGAGGGUGGCAGAAAGGUAAGGGAAAGCUAAUGAGAAAUAGCCAAAGCAAGAAAAAGAAUUUUAUUUUCCUCAAGUUCUUUAUACAUCCAAAGUGGAAGAUUCCUAAAAUAAAUUCCCCAUACCAAAUUUUAAAAAUUAAGUUAGCAAGCUUACUUUUUAAUUUAUUUAGAAGCCAACUACUUUCGUUAAUUAUUUCUUUCCAGAAUAGAGCAAUUAUCACUAAUUGUCAUUAUAAUGCCAAACUAUGUUAAUAGAUGCCUAUUUUUUUUAAGACUAAUUGCAAUCAUGAAACCAAAUAUCUAAUUAAUUUUAGAGCUUUGGAGCAGAUGCAUCAGUAUUUGAAUCAUUCAGGUGUAUAUUUGCUUAUCUGCUUUUUUUGUCUCUUCUAAAGAAGUAUUAUAUGUGUUCUGUUUAUAAUUUCUAAAUGGUCAUUUCAAAACCGAUUAUACGAGUUUAUACAAAUCAUAGUGAAAUUUGUUGCUUAAAAAAUCUUCAUUUUUCUCUAAGCUCUCAGUAUCCUUGAGCUAUAUAUAUUUUACGGCAAUUUUUACUUAAUAGUUUGUAUGCUAGCUAUUUUUGACAAUGACUACUAAAAUGCAAGUUUCUUCAAGGGCGAUUCAUCUUAGUUCUUCUUUAUACCCCUCAAAAAACUCAGUGUUAUUCUCAAUGAGUAUUGAGUAGGUGAGUGAACUUUGAAUGGAUACUCCUUGAAAUUAUAUUUCUGGAGCUGGAAAACUUUAAAAAAAUGUAUGUUAUGAGUCUAAAGAAAUAAACGUUAUAUGGCUGAAAAAAUAUUUUGUGAAAA
RNA transcript from Nomascus leucogenys (northern white-cheeked gibbon), 2678 nucleotides. RefSeq lists it as uncharacterized. The transcript has 8 exons. NCBI's taxonomy places the organism in Eukaryota, Metazoa, Chordata, Mammalia, Primates, Hylobatidae. The record is from RefSeq and is a predicted model, not a curated record.